ACGAAAAGAAUACAAAGAGCAAAUAAAGGCAGCCAACAGGGGACUUAGCAAUGAAACGCUGAGCUAAGAAUAGGAGAGGGAUUGACAAAGGGAAAAUGGGCUAAAGAAGGGAUGGUGAUGGAGGCCGGUGAGACCAAGGAGAGGAAAAGGUGAAGAAGCAGGAUAGGCUAGAGCCCUGGGCCCUGGGGAAAAGGUGAAGCGGGCCAAAAGGUUAACCUCGGAAAAGCGGUAGUGGGUGGGGGUGGAGAGAAGAGGGCGUACUCAGCGCAUGCGCCAGACGCAAACUGCGGCGACCCUGGAGAGGCAGUCCUUUAACUGGCAUCAGCGCUGCGGCUGGAGGCGCGGGUGUCGCUCAGUUGACUGUCCAGUUCUACCUUGGUCUGUGCAGCAGCCCUAGAUCUGCGAACUCUGUGCCGCCGCUCCCUGUACCCUGUCUUGAGGCAGCAAGCGCUAAGAAUUCAUGCUACGACACUCGAUUCUGCCCGGAGGUGACACCAGAUGUGAUCAGAAGCCAUGCCAUUGGUGAAGAGGUAUAUUGAGCCCCGUCUAGCCCAGUGAGGUUACUAGAAAAUUGGGAGAGGCUUAAACCAACAUCCUGCACAUGGUUAUCAAAUCGUUGUGAAGUCUGAAAAUCACCUAGGAUGCCUCUAAAAAUGCAGAUUCCUGGGCAGCCAGAAACCUUGUCCUUGGUCAACACUACCACCUACCUGUCACUUAUAUUGCGGCUUCCUGCCCAGUGGGUUCAUCAGCAAGCCAGAAUGAAUCUCCUCCAUUGCCAUAGAUGUCCUUGUGAGGUGGAAGCCUUGGAGACCUUUAGAAACAACUUGUCAAGUCCUCACCAUGAAUACCAUUAGAAUUGCAGUUGGAAUGGCACAGAUUAAUUUUUGAAGAGCUGUCAUCUUUAUAAUCUUCUAAUACAUGAAUGUGGUAUGUUUCUCCUUUUAUUCAGGUCUUAAAUAAUCAAUGUGUGUCUAUUACACUUCUUAUCUUCAAUAUUUUUCCUAGUUUCUGAAAGAAAUAGGCAGAUGUCCUAGGAACUGAGGUUCUUUUGAGAAAAGUACAGAAGAUGUCAUCUGCAUAGACUAGAUUCUUCAGUAUAAAAGGUCAUACAGGGAUCCUUGGGUGGCGCAGCGGUUUGGCGCCUGUCUUUGGCCCAGGGCGCGAUCCUGGAGACCCGGGAUCGAAUCCCACGUCGGGCUCCCGGUGCAUGGAGCCUGCUUCUCCCUCUGCCUAUGUCUCUGCCUCUCUCGCUCUCUCUCUG
RNAcentral lists this long non-coding RNA (1261 nucleotides) under Canis lupus dingo (dingo). RNAcentral's name for it is "lncRNA (ENSCAFG00020024531.1)". Lineage: Eukaryota; Metazoa; Chordata; Mammalia; Carnivora; Canidae. The record is from RNAcentral.